Molecule: long non-coding RNA, 3080 nt
Filed under: Zea mays
Lineage: Eukaryota; Viridiplantae; Streptophyta; Magnoliopsida; Poales; Poaceae
Description: long non-coding RNA (ZMAY_LNC001667)
Source: RNAcentral
CUGUACCAUCUCGGACAUUUGGCCCAGCGCGCCCCCAACCCACCUCUCGUGCUGUUUGCCCGGCUGCACAACGUGCACGCGUGGACAAGUUGCCCAGCCCGCAAGGCACUAUUCAUCUUCCCAAAACCACCUCUCUCCUCUGGCUAUGCCCAUGUCGCCUCUCCCUCACCAAAACCGCUCGCCCAGCCGCCCAUGACGCUCCAGAUCAGCACCUUGCUGCUCGCCCUCGUCUUCCUGUAGCUGCUCGUCGUGCCGCCAGAUCGACGUCUGCUCGCUGCUGCCGUGUAGGUAAGCUCCAUGGCGUCCUCCCACUCCCACCUCGUCCCAGCGAGCUCACCCUGUGCCAUGUCGCGCUUUGCCUCAUCGUCUGCGUCAUGCCGCCAGUGAGCCGUCAUGCUGGCGAGCUGCUAGCCCGCCGAGCUCUCCUGCACGCGCGCCGUCAAUCGGCCCGCCCAGCCGUGCCUCCACCUCCCCAUCUGCUCACGGGUCCCAUGCGCUCGCCGUGGCACCAUCCACCGCGCCCCUCUCCUGCUCCACCGCCGCCGGCCAUGGCAGCACAGCGGCCACGCCCACCCCGACCGGUGGACUCCUUCCCCUUGCUGCUCGUACAUGGAAGAAACUGUCGGGCGCCGCUACCCUGCUCCACUGGCCGCAUCACCGUCGCCUGGCCAUGGCCGCCGACGCCGACGUGGUCCAUUCCAUUCCCUGGCCAGCAACUGACUCGCUUGAAUGCCCCUUGCGGUUAAUCGUACGCGUCAUGCAUGGGUGCAAGGAAAAGGCAUGCAAGUAGAAAUGCCCGUGGGCCCCAUGUUGCAUGUUGCAUGUCGUAUUCCCCUCCUGGCUGCAUGCGAUCAAGGGAAAUAGUCCUCCAAGGAUCCCAUGUGGAUGCAAAAUCCAUGACCAUCCUUGAGAUUUGGCUCGGACCAAUCACAACGCACCACAUCACUUUAAAUUUGCGGUUUAUUAAAUACAUGUUAGAGUUUAUGUUAAAUCCAUUUUAUUUUGUUCGGAUUGCGUUAGCUUAAUAAUAAUGUCGUGCACACAUUAAAAAUAUUGUUUUGUCGAGACCCAUGUUUUAUUUAUUUAGUUAAUUGUUAGUUCGUUCGUUGGUUAUUAAAAAAUAACAGUUAGUUAAAACUAACUUAUCGUUUUAAGCUACCCUUUUAUAAAUACAUGUUAAUGUGAUUAUGCCAAUUCAAAUGUUUUUUAAUUUAUUCUUGCUUAGUAUAAACGCGACAUUAGUUAGUCAUUCGCGUGUGUCGUGCGCACCGUUUUCGCGUGUCGUACACAUUGCCGCGUGUCGUUCGCGCAGUAUCGCGCGCUGUCCACGCGUGAUAUUAAACCCUUAGCUUAUAAUCUCUCAUGUCAGUUAAUUAGCUAUUUCUUUAAUCGUCCACUAUUAAAAUAGUAAGUUAGUCAAAACUAAGUGAUAAUCAAUUAAUAUAAUUAUGUUGAAUUAAAUGUUCUAACUAAUACUUGUUUAGCGUAAACUUGAUAACUUCUCGGCCGUAGCUCCAACUAUCGCGGUUAUUUUCCUCGCGUAAUCGUAGAAGCGCUCUCUAUUUUAUAUUGCUCGCUUUUAUAAUAUUUUAUCUUGUAUGGUGUAAUGUUCUUAUGCAAGUAUAUGUUUACUUGUGCCUAUUUGUAUUCGUUGCGCGACACGAAUAGACUAUGAUCCAUUCCGAGCUUCGAGGAAUCGACGAUCAAGCUUCGGCGACCAAGAGAUCAAACUCUUCAAGUUCUACAAGGCUGAAGACCCUGAGCAUAUGUUUGGUGAAGGCAAGUGUCCUCUGACACAUUAUGUCCCAUUUACAUUAUAAUUUAUUGUCUUGCAUACUAUGAACAACAUAAGGAUUGACUAGCUUUCUAUUUACCUUGUCCUUGAUUACCUUUUGAGUUACUAUGGUUAGCUUCAUGCUAGCGCUUUACUUUAAUCAAUGAACAUGAUGAGAUACAAUGAUGAUACUAUGGUUUUAUUCUGGAUAUGAUGAUAUACUUGUGGCAUUUAAGGGGACUCGAGUUGUUUCACGAGUGCCUCUCCGUAAGGACUGGUUCGUUGGAUUACCGCCCGGGAAAACAGUGCAACCAUGAGGGUGGAAUGAGACGCCCUUAGCUGAAUAAUUAGAGGAACUCGGGUGUAGUUCGCUUCGUCGUCGUGCCGUUAAUGGGGCUCGGUGUAUGCGACUCGCUUUGCCAAGGUUGGUUCGCCCCUUGGGGAGGAGUGCAUUGCAUUUAGGAAACCUAACGGGCGGCUACAGCCUUAGGGAAUCUUUGUAAAGGCUUCAUAGUGAAUCUCUAGCCAUUCACCUUGUAAGUGAAUAAGGGUCUAGCAAGCCUGGGCUAGAAAGGGAAUCACGACUUGUGGGUAAAGUGCGCAACCUCUGCAGAGCAUUAUGAAACUGAUAUAUCAGCCGUGCUCACGGUUAUGAGCGGCCAAGGGAGCUCCAUUGAUUAGAGACACAUUGAUCAGAGAUGUUCUGUUUACAGAUGAUGAUGAGGAUAAUGCUGGUUUCUAUUAUGAUUAUGGUUUCUAGUAUUCUUUCCGUUUGGAAAGGGUACUUUUGGGUUAACAACUCGAGUUAAUGUUAAAACCUGGCUCUCUACUAGUAAUAAUUACCAGAUCAACUAAAAGCAACUGCUUGAUCUUAACCCCACAUAAAGCUAGUCCACUACAGCCAAACAGGACAUUUGCUGAGUACGUUGUUGUGUACUCACCCUUGCUUUCACAAAACACCAGGUUGCCCUUGGUGCAAUCUAUGCUCAGGUAAAGAAGAAGGUGUCGAGGUGGAUCUCCAGGAGUUCCAGGACUUCGACGAGUUCGAGGAUUAGGCUUGCAACCUCCCCCAGUCAGCUGCCUGUGGUGGGUUGUUUACGAUGGCUACGUUUCGAUUCUGUGUACUUUGAUUUAUAUUAUGUAAAUGGCUCUAGUUUGUAAUAUUAUUACUUACUCUUUAUUGUAAUUCGAAGCAUUGUGUUAUGAUGAGUCAUUUAUGUAAUCGUUGUGUACAUGAAUUUCUGAUCAUGGCACGUACAUGGUUCACAUUCGGUUUACCUUCCAAAACCGGGUGUGACAUAAGUGG